UAGGGAAUCUUCCGCAAUGGGCGAAAGCCUGACGGAGCAACGCCGCGUGAGUGAUGAAGGUCUUCGGAUCGUAAAACUCUGUUAUUAGGGAAGAACAAAUGUGUAAGUAACUAUGCACGUCUUGACGGUACCUAAUCAGAAAGCCACGGCUAACUACGUGCCAGCAGCCGCGGUAAUACGUAGGUGGCAAGCGUUAUCCGGAAUUAUUGGGCGUAAAGCGCGCGUAGGCGGUUUUUUAAGUCUGAUGUGAAAGCCCACGGCUCAACCGUGGAGGGUCAUUGGAAACUGGAAAACUUGAGUGCAGAAGAGGAAAGUGGAAUUCCAUGUGUAGCGGUGAAAUGCGCAGAGAUAUGGAGGAACACCAGUGGCGAAGGCGACUUUCUGGUCUGUAACUGACGCUGACGUGCGAAAGCGUGGGGAUCAAACAGG
Molecule: ribosomal RNA, 429 nt
Filed under: Actinomycetes bacterium
Lineage: Bacteria; Bacillati; Actinomycetota; Actinomycetes
Description: Actinobacteria bacterium partial 16S ribosomal RNA
Rfam family: Bacterial small subunit ribosomal RNA
Source: RNAcentral